UACGUAGGGUGCGAGCGUUGUCCGGAAUUAUUUGGGCGUAAAGAGCUUGUAGGCGGUUUUGUCGCGUCUGCUGUGAAAUUUUCGGGGCUCAACCCCGAACUUGCAGUGGGUACGGGCAGACUAGAGUGUGGUAGGGGAGACUGGAAUUCCUGGUGUAGCGGUGAAAUGCGCAGAUAUCAGGAGGAACACCUGCGGCGAAGGCGGGUGCUGGGCUGACACUGACGCUGAUGCGCGAAAGCCAGGGGAGCGAACGGG
This 255-nucleotide ribosomal RNA is filed under the name uncultured bacterium. RNAcentral's name for it is "partial 16S ribosomal RNA". It matches the Rfam family "Bacterial small subunit ribosomal RNA", at positions 524 to 776 of the family's 1533-position model. The record is from RNAcentral.